AUUGAACGCUGGCGGCAUGCUUUACACAUGCAAGUCGAACGGCAGCGCGGGCUUCGGCCUGGCGGCGAGUGGCGAACGGGUGAGUAAUACAUCGGAACGUGCCCGGUAGUGGGGGAUAGCUCGGCGAAAGCCGGAUUAAUACCGCAUACGACCUGAGGGUGAAAGCGGGGGAUCUUCGGACCUCGCGCUAUUGGAGCGGCCGAUGGCCGAUUAGCUAGUUGGUGGGGUAAAGGCCUACCAAGGCGGCGAUCUGUAGCUGGUCUGAGUGGACGACCAGCCACACUGGGAGUGAGCCACGGCCCAGACUCCUACGGGAGGCAGCAGUGGGGAAUGUUGGACAAUGGGCGAAAGCCUGAUCCAGCAAUGCCGCGUGUGUGAUGAAGGCCUUCGGGUUGUAAAGCACUUUUGGCGGGAACGAAAAGGACUGUGCCAAUACCACGGUUGGAUGACGGUACCCGCAGAAUAAGCACCGGCUAACUACGUG
This 484-nucleotide ribosomal RNA is filed under the name uncultured bacterium. RNAcentral describes it as "partial 16S ribosomal RNA". It matches the Rfam family "Bacterial small subunit ribosomal RNA", at positions 28 to 507 of the family's 1533-position model. The record is from RNAcentral.